This 86-nucleotide transfer RNA is filed under the name Chloroflexota bacterium. Its description in RNAcentral is "tRNA-Met". Lineage: Bacteria; Bacillati; Chloroflexota. The record is from RNAcentral.
CGUGGCCUGGAGCAGUGGCAGCUCGGCGGGCGCAUAACCCGAAGGUGCCCAAUGGGCGCCCGGUGCGAAUCCAGCCGCCACGACCA